This 2013-nucleotide ribosomal RNA is filed under the name Shigella sonnei. RNAcentral's name for it is "partial 23S ribosomal RNA". It matches the Rfam family "Bacterial large subunit ribosomal RNA", at positions 925 to 2915 of the family's 2925-position model. Lineage: Bacteria; Pseudomonadati; Pseudomonadota; Gammaproteobacteria; Enterobacterales; Enterobacteriaceae. The record is from RNAcentral.
GGUCAUCCCGACUUACCAACCCGAUGCAAACUGCGAAUACCGGAGAAUGUUAUCACGGGAGACACACGGCGGGUGCUAACGUCCGUCGUGAAGAGGGAAACAACCCAGACCGCCAGCUAAGGUCCCAAAGUCAUGGUUAAGUGGGAAACGAUGUGGGAAGGCCCAGACAGCCAGGAUGUUGGCUUAGAAGCAGCCAUCAUUUAAAGAAAGCGUAAUAGCUCACUGGUCGAGUCGGCCUGCGCGGAAGAUGUAACGGGGCUAAACCAUGCACCGAAGCUGCGGCAGCGACGCUUAUGCGUUGUUGGGUAGGGGAGCGUUCUGUAAGCCUGCGAAGGUGUGCUGUGAGGCAUGCUGGAGGUAUCAGAAGUGCGAAUGCUGACAUAAGUAACGAUAAAGCGGGUGAAAAGCCCGCUCGCCGGAAGACCAAGGGUUCCUGUCCAACGUUAAUCGGGGCAGGGUGAGUCGACCCCUAAGGCGAGGCCGAAAGGCGUAGUCGAUGGGAAACAGGUUAAUAUUCCUGUACUUGGUGUUACUGCGAAGGGGGGACGGAGAAGGCUAUGUUGGCCGGGCGACGGUUGUCCCGGUUUAAGCGUGUAGGCUGGUUUUCCAGGCAAAUCCGGAAAAUCAAGGCUGAGGCGUGAUGACGAGGCACUACGGUGCUGAAGCAACAAAUGCCCUGCUUCCAGGAAAAGCCUCUAAGCAUCAGGUAACAUCAAAUCGUACCCCAAACCGACACAGGUGGUCAGGUAGAGAAUACCAAGGCGCUUGAGAGAACUCGGGUGAAGGAACUAGGCAAAAUGGUGCCGUAACUUCGGGAGAAGGCACGCUGAUAUGUAGGUGAAGUCCCUUGCGGAUGGAGCUGAAAUCAGUCGAAGAUACCAGCUGGCUGCAACUGUUUAUUAAAAACACAGCACUGUGCAAACACGAAAGUGGACGUAUACGGUGUGACGCCUGCCCGGUGCCGGAAGGUUAAUUGAUGGGGUCAGCGCAAGCGAAGCUCUUGAUCGAAGCCCCGGUAAACGGCGGCCGUAACUAUAACGGUCCUAAGGUAGCGAAAUUCCUUGUCGGGUAAGUUCCGACCUGCACGAAUGGCGUAAUGAUGGCCAGGCUGUCUCCACCCGAGACUCAGUGAAAUUGAACUCGCUGUGAAGAUGCAGUGUACCCGCGGCAAGACGGAAAGACCCCGUGAACCUUUACUAUAGCUUGACACUGAACAUUGAGCCUUGAUGUGUAGGAUAGGUGGGAGGCUUUGAAGUGUGGACGCCAGUCUGCAUGGAGCCGGCCUUGAAAUACCACCCUUUAAUGUUUGAUGUUCUAACGUGGACCCGUGAUCCGGGUUGCGGACAGUGUCUGGUGGGUAGUUUGACUGGGGCGGUCUCCUCCUAAAGAGUAACGGAGGAGCACGAAGGUUGGCUAAUCCUGGUCGGACAUCAGGAGGUUAGUGCAAUGGCAUAAGCCAGCUUGACUGCGAGCGUGACGGCGCGAGCAGGUGCGAAAGCAGGUCAUAGUGAUCCGGUGGUUCUGAAUGGAAGGGCCAUCGCUCAACGGAUAAAAGGUACUCCGGGGAUAACAGGCUGAUACCGCCCAAGAGUUCAUAUCGACGGCGGUGUUUGGCACCUCGAUGUCGGCUCAUCACAUCCUGGGGCUGAAGUAGGUCCCAAGGGUAUGGCUGUUCGCCAUUUAAAGUGGUACGCGAGCUGGGUUUAGAACGUCGUGAGACAGUUCGGUCCCUAUCUGCCGUGGGCGCUGGAGAACUGAGGGGGGCUGCUCCUAGUACGAGAGGACCGGAGUGGACGCAUCACUGGUGUUCGGGUUGUCAUGCCAAUGGCACUGCCCGGUAGCUAAAUGCGGAAGAGAUAAGUGCUGAAAGCAUCUAAGCACGAAACUUGCCCCGAGAUGAGUUCUCCCUGACCCUUUAAGGGUCCUGAAGGAACGUUGAAGACGACGACGUUGAUAGGCCGGGUGUGUAAGCGCAGCGAUGCGUUGAGCUAACCGGUACUAAUGAACCGUGAG